CAACCCACAUCUGGUCAGAAACAACACGGUUCCUUUGUCUGCCGAGGUAUAUCCUCAUGAAGCUCCUUCAACAUCUGCAUCUCAAGCUCCUAGUGUUGCCAGCUCGAGUAAAGAUCAGGGCCUUCCAAGGGUAAUGAGAAGAACUACACGCUCAACAGCAGGUCAGCACUCCAAUGUCCACCAUCUCCCAAGACCAAUGGGAUUAGUGCAUGGGGCUGCACACUCUCCUGAUCCACACUGUAAUGCUGUUUCUGCACUGUUUAGACCUUGGUGCUAGUGUUUUUGGGGUCGUCGUCGGGGCGUCGAUGCAAGUUGGGGGGGUAGAUUGUAGCAGCAUAAAUGGUACGCUGCCACUUUAAGAUCAAUUUCAGCUGCUGCAUAUAAGCAGGUCUCUACCUGCCACAUGACUACUUGCGUCAUGACGUCAACUCAUUUUGCUUAGUUUGUUUGCUGAGCUGUGCUGGGUAAGCGUGGCUGUUUCUUUGUUUGUCAGCUUUUAUCAUAGCCAUUAAUGCAAGCUGGUUUGAUUUGUUUAGCCUCCCUUGCUGUGCCUCCAACUCCUGGACCAAUUUGUUCGGUUGUUUGCUGCCGGUAAGCUGCGCUCCGUAGGUGAACUUGUGGAUCUGUUAAUCUGGCCGUGUGGUAAUUUACAGGUAAGCAGCUACCAUAAGUCAUAGUUUUUAUCAGCAGUUGUAUUAAUAAUCUACUUUAUUUUUUUAGCCUCCUGCCGAGUCCCUGACAACUAUUCUAUUUGGAUGUACACUCGCUGCUGUUUUGCCUACGUUGAAUUGUUUUAAAAGAUUUGUAUGAACUUUCCCCCGCUGCCGGGAGUAUUGAUGGCACCACAAACGGGAUAAAAAAAAGCAAUAUUGUAGUGCUAUUGUAUCACUGUUUUACUCGUAUUGUUUCAUUUUUUUGUCUUUCUUUUAGGGACUGAGGCUUCUGUGGUGGCGGUGGUGACCCCUGGUGGCGGUGUCUUGUCUUG
This is a long non-coding RNA of Xiphophorus hellerii (green swordtail), 985 nucleotides long. RefSeq lists it as uncharacterized. The transcript has 2 exons. The record is from RefSeq and is a predicted model, not a curated record. Lineage: Eukaryota; Metazoa; Chordata; Actinopteri; Cyprinodontiformes; Poeciliidae.